CGAAAGCCUGACGGAGCAAUACCGCGUGAGGGAUGACGGCCUAUGGGUUGUAAACCUCUUUUUUCAGGGAGGAAUCAAUGACGUGUACCUGAAGAAUAAGCAUCGGCUAACUCCGUGCCAGCAGCCGCGGUAAGACGGAGGAUGCAAGCGUUAUCCGGAAUUAUUGGGCGUAAAGCGUCCGUAGGCGGCUAAUCAAGUCUGCUGUCAAAGCCCACAGCUCAACUGUGGAGAGGCAGUGGAAACUGAAUAGCUAGAGUGUGGUAGGGGCAGAGGGAAUUCCUGGUGUAGCGGUGAAAUGCGUAGAUAUCAGGAAGAACACCAGUGGCGAAGGCGCUCUGCUGGGCCAUAACUGACGCUGAUGGACGAAAGCUAGGGGAGCG
RNAcentral lists this ribosomal RNA (380 nucleotides) under uncultured cyanobacterium. Its description in RNAcentral is "bacterial SSU rRNA". It matches the Rfam family "Bacterial small subunit ribosomal RNA", at positions 376 to 770 of the family's 1533-position model. The record is from RNAcentral. Lineage: Bacteria; Bacillati; Cyanobacteriota.